This 316-nucleotide unclassified non-coding RNA is filed under the name uncultured Geodermatophilaceae bacterium. RNAcentral describes it as "contains 16S-23S intergenic spacer region". Lineage: Bacteria; Bacillati; Actinomycetota; Actinomycetes; Geodermatophilales; Geodermatophilaceae. The record is from RNAcentral.
UCCGAGUUGACCCCGGCAGUCUCCUAUGAGUCCCCACCAUGACGUGCUGGCAACAUAGGACGAGGGUUGCGCUCGUUGCGGGACUUAACCCAACAUCUCACGACACGAGCUGACGACAACCAUGCACCACCUGUGCACGGCCCUUACGGACCUCCCAUCUCUGGGAGAUUUCCGUGCAUGUCAAGCCUAGGUAAGGUUCUUCGCGUUGCAUCGAAUUAAACCACAUGCUCCACCGCUUGUGCAGGCCCCCGUCAAUUUCUUUGAGUUUUAACCUUGCGGCCGUACUCCCCAGGCGGAUGACGUGGGAGGAAUUCCA